AAAUAAGAAGAAGAGCUUCUUUACAUUUAAAAGAGGGUUUAGCAAGGUGAAGUAAAGCUGCUAAUCUAUGGACAAACUAAAACUAAUUGAUGAUAUUAUGGAUUCCAUAUCUUUGGAGUUUUCACUUGCCCUUUUAAUGACUUCACUCUUCUUUGGAUGAAGGAAGCUCUUCAUCUCUCCACA
RNAcentral lists this microRNA precursor (183 nucleotides) under Brassica napus (rape). RNAcentral describes it as "pre miRNA MIR159". Lineage: Eukaryota; Viridiplantae; Streptophyta; Magnoliopsida; Brassicales; Brassicaceae. The record is from RNAcentral. RNAcentral also lists the same sequence under 1 other name.